Molecule: non-coding RNA, 8072 nt
Organism: Saimiri boliviensis boliviensis (Bolivian squirrel monkey)
Lineage: Eukaryota; Metazoa; Chordata; Mammalia; Primates; Cebidae
Source: RefSeq, a predicted model, not a curated record
AUCUGUUUCAACUCUCCGCCGAGGGCGAGCGGGAGCGAGUGUGUGUCGGGUGAGUGUGCGUCUGUGUCCCAGCGAGGGUGCGCGCUCGGCGCCGGGAGCGCGGCCAGCCGGGUCUGGAGGCAUCGGGAGGCCGAGAGCCGCCGGGACCCCAGCUCUGCCUCCACUGCCCCGUCCCGAGCUGGACUUCGGGGCCGGGGCCGUGCGCCACGGACGGGCAGGACCGGGUCGCGGGCCGCGCGUCCCCCGAGCCGGAGAUCUGCGAGUAAAGAGGAACUAGGGACAAGAAACAGAGCCACAGACGCAACUUCAGACUCCUGCAUCCCGAAAGAAGGACCAGAUCAGCAAAGAAAAGAUGGGCUCUCCGAGCCUCAUGCUGUGCUUGCUGUCCGCAACUGUGUUCUCCCUGCUGGCUGGAAGCUCGGCCUUCCUGAAGUACUUCCCCAUAAGAGACAGGUUUCACAGGGAACGCAGGAACAUCCGCCCCAACAUCAUCCUGGUGCUGACGGACGACCAGGAUGUGGAGCUGGGUUCCAUGCAGGUGAUGAACAAGACCCGGCGCAUCAUGGAGCAGGGCGGGGCACACUUCAUCAACGCCUUCGUGACCACACCCAUGUGCUGCCCCUCACGCUCCUCCAUCCUCACCGGCAAGUACGUCCACAACCACAACACCUACACCAACAACGAGAACUGCUCCUCACCCUCCUGGCAGGCACAGCACGAGAGCCGCACCUUCGCCGUGUACCUCAACAACACCGGCUACCGGACAGCUUUCUUCGGGAAGUAUCUCAAUGAAUACAACGGCUCCUAUGUGCCGCCCGGCUGGAAGGAGUGGGUCGGACUCCUUAAAAACUCCCGCUUUUAUAACUACACACUCUGUCGGAACGGGGUGAAAGAGAAGCAUGGCUCUGACUACUCCAAGGAUUACCUCACAGACCUCAUCACCAACGACAGCGUGAGCUUCUUCCGCACAUCCAAGAAGAUGUACCCGCACAGGCCGGUCCUCAUGGUCAUCAGCCAUGCAGCGCCCCACGGCCCCGAAGAUUCAGCCCCACAGUAUUCAUGCCUCUUCCCCAACGCAUCUCAGCACAUCACGCCAAGCUACAACUACGCGCCCAACCCGGACAAACACUGGAUCAUGCGCUACACGGGGCCCAUGAAGCCCAUCCACAUGGAAUUCACCAACAUGCUGCAGCGGAAGCGCCUGCAGACCCUCAUGUCGGUGGACGACUCCAUGGAGACGAUUUACAACAUGCUGGUUGAGACGGGUGAGCUGGACAACACGUACAUCGUGUACACCGCCGACCAUGGCUACCACAUCGGCCAGUUUGGCCUCGUGAAGGGGAAGUCCAUGCCGUAUGAGUUCGACAUCAGGGUCCCAUUCUACGUGAGGGGCCCCAACGUGGAAGCUGGCUCUCUGAAUCCCCACAUCGUCCUCAACAUUGACCUGGCCCCCACCAUCCUGGACAUUGCAGGCCUGCAAAUACCUGAGGACAUGGACGGGAAAUCCAUCCUCAAGCUGCUGGACUUGGAACAGCCGAUGAAUCGGUUUCAUUUGAAAAAGCUGAAGGUCUGGCGGAACUCUUUCCUGGUGGAGAGAGGCAAACUGCUACACAAGAGAGACAGUGACAAGGUGGACGCCCAGGAGGAGAACUUCCUGCCCAGGUACCGGCGUGUGCAGGACCUGUGUCAGCGUGCCGAGUACCAGACAGCGUGCGAACAGCUGGGACAGAAGUGGCAGUGCGUGGAAGAUGCUACAGGGACGCUGAAGCUGCACAAAUGCAGGGAGCCCGUGCAGCUGGACGGCGGCAGAGCCCUCUCCAACCUCGUGCCCAAGUACUACGGGCAGGGCAGCGAGGCCUGCGUCUGCGACAACGAUGACUACAAGCUCAGCAUGGCCGAACGCCGGAGAAGGCUCUUCAAGAAGAGGUACAAGCCCAGCUAUAUUCGAUAUCGCUCCCUCCGCUCAGUGGCCAUUGAGGCAGAUGGCAGGGCGCACCACGUAGGCCUGGGUGAUGCUGCCCAGCCCCGAAACCUCACCAAGCGUCACUCGCCAGGGGCCCCUGAGAACCCAGACGACAAGGAUGGUGGGGACUUCAGUGGCACUGGAGGCCUUCCCAACUACGCCGCCACCAACCCCAUCAAAGUGACAAAUCGGUGCCACAUCCUGGAGAACUACACAGUCCGGUGUGACCUGGACCUGUACAAGUCCCUGCAGGCCUGGAAAGACCACAAGCUGCACAUCGACCACGAAAUUGAAACCCUGCAGAACAAAAUUAAGACCCUGAGAGAAAUCCGAGGUCACCUGAGGAAAAAGCGGCCAGAAGAAUGUGGCUGUCACAAAAUCAGCUACGACACCCAGCACAAAGACCACCUCAAGCACAAAGGCUCCAGCCUGCAUCCUUUCAGGAAGGGUCUGCAGGAGAAGGACAAGGUGUGGCUGUUGCGGGAGCAGAAGCGCAAGAAGAAACUCCGCAAGCUGCUCAAGCGCCUGCAGAACAACGACACGUGCAGCAUGCCAGGCCUCACGUGCUUCACACACAACAACCAGCACUGGCAGACAGCGCCCUUCUGGACCCUGGGGCCAUUCUGCGCCUGCACCAGCGCCAACAAUAACACAUACUGGUGCAUGAGGACCAUCAACGAGACUCACAACUUCCUCUUCUGUGAAUUUGCCACGGGCUUCCUGGAGUACUUCGAUCUCAACACGGACCCCUACCAGCUUAUGAACUCAGUGAACACGCUGGACAGGGGUGUCCUCAACCAGCUACACAUACAGCUCAUGGGGCUGAGGAGCUGCAAGGGUUACAAGCAGUGUAACCCCUGGACUCGAGACAUGGACCUGGGACUUAAAGAUGGAAGAGGCUAUGAGCAACACAGGAUGUUUCAGCGUCGGAAGUGGCCAGGAAUGAGGAGACCUUCUUCCAGAUCACCGGGACGACUGUGGGAAGGCUGGGAAGGUUAAGAAACAACAGAGGUGGACCUCCAAAAACAGAGGCGCCACCUGACUGCACAGGCAACGAAAAAGCAUGUGGGUGAUUUCCAGCAGGCCUCUGCUGAUGGCCAGGCGGCUUGAGAAAGCAAGCCCUCACUCUCAGCCAACAUGGCAGAUUCUGGAGGAUAACCAGCAGGAGGCAGAGAGAACUUCAGGAAGUCUAUUUUUGCCCCUGCUUUUGCUUUGGAUUAUACCUCACCAGCUGCACAAAAUACAUUUUUCCCUAUCAAAAAGUUCACCACUAACCUUCCCCCAGAAGCUCACAAAGGAAAAUGAAGAGAGUGAGUGAGAGAUUUCCUUGGAAAUUUCCCUCCCCCAAGGGUGAAAGUCAUUGGAAUUUUUAAAUCAUAGGGGAAAAACAGUCCUGUUCUAAAUCCUCUUAUUCUUUGAGUUUGUCACAAAGAAGGAACUAAGACGCAGAAGAGAGGCAACGUGGAGAGGCUGAAAACUGCAGAGAGUUCGACAGUGAGUCAGUAGCACAAAAGAGAUGACACUUAGCACCAUAAACCCCGGUUGCCUCUGAAGAAACUGCCUUCACUGUAUAUAUGUGACUAUUUACAUGUAACCAACAUGGGAACUUUUAGGGGAACCUAAUAAGAAAUCCCCAUUUUCAGGAGUGGUGGUGUCAAUAAACGCUCUGUGGCCAGUGUAAAAGAAAAUCCCUCACAGUUGUGGACAUUUCUGUUCCUGUCCAGAUACCAUUUCUCCUAGUAAUUUCUUUGUUAUGUUCCAGAACUGAUGUUAUUUUUAAGAAGUUGAUGUAUGUCCCAAGUUUUGAUCAAAAACUGUAUUUGUAAAAAAAAAGAAAAAUUUUGUAGUGUAAGUAUUGUCAUACAAUGUUCAAAACCCCAGCCAAUGACCAGCAGUUGGUAUGAAGAAACCUUUGACAUUUUGUAAAAGGCCAUUUCUCGGGAGUUUUUUUUUUUUUUUUUUUUUUUCUUGGUGUGUCUGUCUGUUUUUUUUUUUUUUAAGUAUUCAAGAUACUGCCAAUCAACACCUUUUUGGAAGAAAAUGCCUUGGGUUUAGAACAUUUUUUUAAAAGGGGAGUAGACGGUUGUAGAUUAAUGACUAAAGUCUACCAUACUUCAAGGGACUUCACAGGUAAGUCUCAAACCAGCAGCUUUGGGACUUUUUUUUAAAAAAAGUAUUAAUUGCAAAGCAAUUCACCUUGGCCAACCCUUCUUUGUGUAUCAGGUGGUGUAACCUGAUCCAAGUAGUUGUCAGAUUUCCAGAAUGGGAAAAGUAGAAACUAUCACCAGUGCAGCCCAUUUCUCAUUUAACACAUGACAGAGAUGAUAAUCCCCAAAGUACUCACAUUUUUUUCAAUGCCCCACAUUAGGCCACCACUCCCUGGCAGCACCCUAAGCUGUGCUUUAAACCUCUCAAACGGUUACCAUUAUUCGAAACAGGCUUCCUUAACCUCUUUUACCCUUAAUCCAACAGGGAUAUAUUUUUAAAAAUGCUCUUUAGGCUCCAAUUUUAAAUAGAAACCUUUAUUUACAAUGACAUCCAAAAUGGUCAGCAAAGCAGUCGAAGCUUACCAUUCCCCAUAAGUCAUUCAUAUGGUUUCGAUUCUUUGCAGAAUAAAGAAUUUCUGUUUUUAAAGUAACACAAUGUAAACUUGAUUGAAACUGAAUUCAUUCUCAAGAGUAUAAGUCAAUUCCUGAGAAUUUAAAUAUUGCUCUCAGAAUGACAUUUCCAUCUUCUUUGAAAUUCCAUAUAUUAGAGGGAGAGAAAACACCCUGCUUGUCUGUAUCAACAAGUGUGCCUUGGAGUUGAAAACAACUCUUGUUCCUCUGAUUACAUCAAAUCCUUGAGGUUUCCUAUGAACCUCCUAAUUGCGAACAAAACUCACAGCUUCUGCAAAUAAAAAGGGAACUGGGCAGUUAUACAUGUAACCAGCAAUCCAUUCUGUUCACUUUCAGCUGCCUCUACCUCUGGAUCAAAGAACUUCUAGGACAUCAAGCCAAUUAUCUUCUGUAAUACCCUACCCCUAAUACAGAUACCCCCCAACUCACCUUAGAUAUUAAACACUGAUAAACUAAGUAGCACUGUUGUUGAUAUUUACACCUUUCAAUCCAGAUGCAGUUUAGAAAAGUGGCAUCAUAAUAUGAACAUUAACAAUGUAACUUCCAUUUAUUUUUUUAAAGGAAGAAACAUGUAUCUCCUUUAUAUCUUUCUGAUCUUUUUAUAAAACAUAUAUAUUUUUUAUUUAUAUAUCUUUGGAUUCAGCAAAAAUAAAAAAAGUAGGUACUGGAAAUAUCCCACAUUCUAAAAGCAGAUGAAAAGAUUAUUCUGUUCACCCAACAGAUACGAAGGUUUGAAAAAAUGGGAGGUGCGGGGGUGUGAGGAGAGGUAGACAGCAGGAGUACAAAGAAUUAUCUAAAAAAGAUAAAGGGCAAUACAGGUAAAAACAAAUUAUCUCAAAGACUGCACCUAGUAAAAGAAAAUAUCUUGAGUUUGCACCAAUCAAAUGAACAAGUAGAAAAUAUAAAAACUUAUAAUAAACUUCAUUUUUCCACUAUAUAAAAAAGGGAGUGCUGCCUUCCAGUAAGCCUGGAGCCAGGUUUAAGGAAUUUUUUAAAGUCAAGAAAGGUAAGAGCACCAAUCUAUUUCUCCCCACACACAUAACUCAAAGAAGGUUCAGACGCAAUUGACCUGAAAUACAUGAGACAGACUAACUGGGCUGUGCCUCUGUCUCCACACAGGAGCACACACCAUCUGGAAAGCGCAGGCCACUACCAUGGAAGUUUUGGGAUUUACACUCUUAGAUGUGGUUUGAACUUGGUGGGGGGAAGAAGGCAAACUCAUAAUUGUCUACACUGUUUUGAAAAUCCACUCUAGUGGUGGGUCUGGAAAUACCAGGAUUCACUUAUUUGUAAGCAUAUCAAAGAUAUUAAAUGAUCUUACCUUCAGAGACAUCUAGAAAGAUUGGCUAAAUGUGUGAAACUUUACAAAAAAAUUAAUGGCUCUCAGUUAUUGCUAGAAAAUGACACCAAGGCUAGCAGAGACCUUUGAAAUUCAUAGACAUUCAAAAACCCAAUUCUUUCAACUAUUUGGACCAAAUGAAGUAACCCAGAUAAAGGGAAUUAAAUUUGGUUUUUCCCUUACUCCCAACUGACUAAAAUAGUUGUCAAAGGGAGGCAAGAGCAGAAAGUGGCCAGGGGCAGAAGAGGGAGGGGUUUAAAAGGUGCUCAAUUAGACUGGUUCUCAAUCACAGUAAAACUGACUGUUCUGGGUACUGAGUUCCUUAAGAAGUAACAGUGACACUAUUCUAAUUCACAGGGAUAUUAUGAAAGAAUCACAUUAGUAGAAUGAGGGAUAGCUGAGCAGACACCAGAAACCACACCAAGAUUCUACUCAAGAUCUCAAUGUGGGAUUCAGGUCUUAGCAACCGAAACCCAAGAACACUCCUAAAGGGGAUGAAAAGCUGUUGGACAUCAAUGACAGUUCCUGGAGGUGAAGUAUUACAGGACAUGAGCGGCAAAUGAAAACCUUCAUUAGGAGAAAGCCUAGGACAACAAAUAACAGAGAAAGAGCAACUCAACACCAUCAGGAAAGGCCAAUUCAGAAUCACCAAGUCCACUGGACAAAGGGUCAACACAGAACUACUUGGUAGUGACAAGAACACUUGAAGGCUGGGACUAUGCUCUUAGUCCAAUACUGCAACUAGCAAAAGCAGAUGUUCUAAUCUCUAAUUUCUUCCAAUGUUCUCUGGCCCACCUACAUGGAUUUAAAAGACUUUGGCUAGCAAGGCAGAAAAAAGUGACACAAAAGUUUUAUGAUCAGUAACACGCCACAUUUCCAGAAUUAUAUCCCUAGGAGGUGGAAUGCCAAAAACAUUUCUUUUUGAACACCAUGAUAUGUAGGAGCGCGGGGGGAAAUACGCAGAUACUGCAGUUCGGCUUAAAAUCCAGUCCUGCUCGAAUGACAUCAGUUAAAAUGCCCUUGACAGAGCUCAAAGCUGGCUUUCUUCAAAAAUGGAUGCCCGGAACAUGGUAUCUUCCCAAUAAUCCUAGUGCAGUGUCAUUUGUACAGUGGUUUCCUUAGAGGUCCUGGUGCAGAGACGUCAGCAGUAUUUCUGUUAGCAACCAGAAAAAAGCUGGGUAAAACACAUGCUUUGCACAACAAAAAAAUGUCCAUGUCCACAUUCAUGGCUUUUCAGGUUCCUUAGAUCCCAUAUUACCAAAAGUAUCUAGUGGCCCAAUACCUUCAAACCAAUGGGUUUUUUAAAUUACUGUAGUUUUAAGUUAUAAAUUCAAGUUAAAAUAUACCUAGGACCUUUUGAUUAUAGCUGAGGCUUUGGUUCUAACCACAGAACAAGACAAACUUUUUGAAAAUGGUAAGCAACAGACCCCAUACCUGAUCAGGACCCAUAGGCAUGCCGGACAUGGGCAUGGGGUUCAUGGUCAUUGGCCCCAUGUGGCCGCUGCUGCCGUUCAUGUGCACCAUACUAUACACUGCAGGAUUCCCCUGGUGGGCAAACUGCUGCUGGGAAAAGGAGCUGUGAAGAAACUGUAAUGUUACCUCUGGAAGGCAUUUUGGCAACAAAGGGCAUGCCCACAGAAACUAUCACAAUUGUGCCAAACAUUGCUAUACUGAAGCUGGGAAUGUCAGAGAGAAAACUCCCUGACAGCCUGUGAUCCAUUUUUCACAGCUUUCUGUACUCGAUACCCUAAUAGAUGUGUGCAUGGUAUGAAGGACUCUCAAAAUGGACAAGCCAAAGAACACAUCUUCUAAUAUAAAUCCAGUCCUUUCAAUCUCUCCAUCCAAAAAGGCUUGACUGAAAAAUAUAGUAAUUCUUGGACUUCUGGGACUAAGAUGUGACUAACUUUAGAAGUACUAUUCUUUACCUGUUCCUGGCCAAAUUUCCUGAAGGCCAGCCCUUCAUUUCUGAGGACUGAUACAUGGAUGCAGCCUGGGGGUGUUGCAUCAUGGGAUUCUGGGAGGGACCCAUUCUUGACGACAUCAUUGCAUUGGGAGGACUAGACACUCGACCAAAGCCUGGAUCUGGUGGUUGUCCAAUUCCUUACAAAAACAAAGAAAAAAGAAAUAAAAAUGUCCAAAUGCCUUCUCCUUA